GAUACAGGUGCUCCUACACGGGGUCCAAUGGGGGGAAAUACUGACACACAUUAAUCACACCGUGUCAUAAUGGUUAGUAUUAGAAACUCAAAAGACGAAUGUAGGGGAAAUUCUGUUUGCAGUGUCAGUGAAAUUAUCAUUUGGGAUGUCGUGGGAUGUUUUGGAAUGUUGUUUUCGUAUUAAGAGUAUUCUGGGAUGUGGGGAAUCUUCUUCUCCAUGACAACGCGAAGGAAGCCAGAAAUGCUUUAGCCAGUCAUUGGUGAUGGUUCUGUGAUUAACUCUUGCCUGUGCUUAAUCCAUAGAGGCAAUAUUCUUAAUACACUCUAAAUAAUGUAAAUGAA
This is a long non-coding RNA of Brienomyrus brachyistius, 341 nucleotides long. RefSeq lists it as uncharacterized. NCBI's taxonomy places the organism in Eukaryota, Metazoa, Chordata, Actinopteri, Osteoglossiformes, Mormyridae. The transcript is spliced from 2 exons. The record is from RefSeq and is a predicted model, not a curated record.